UCCUUCCUUGUCUAGGGGAGCGAAAUGUUCAAUGAUCGUCUAGUGAGAACAUUUUUGCUGACACCCUAUAUAUGAAUUUACCGCACCCGCUGCGCAAAGACGCGAGUGCAAUUUUUGGAGGC
Sitophilus oryzae (rice weevil) is the source of this 122-nucleotide small nuclear RNA. RefSeq annotates it as U4atac minor spliceosomal RNA. The record is from RefSeq and is a predicted model, not a curated record. Lineage: Eukaryota; Metazoa; Arthropoda; Insecta; Coleoptera; Curculionidae. The transcript has a single exon.